UUUCUGUAUAUUCUCUGUUUUUUAACACGGUUCUGUUUUCUCUUUAUUUCAUUUCUCCGUCAACUCAUGUACCAUGACUGGAGUUGACCAACAAUUAAAGAAGAAGACCUGCUCCACCUGCUGAUCUACUGGCUGUAACAGAUUGUGGAAAAGCAUCACCAGCAGCACUGGACCAAUCAGGAGAGAGAAGACACAGAGGACUGAAGGGACACAGAAAAUCCUGCUGGAAAUCCUGAGAUGAAGUUUCCUGAUGUAACCGGGGGAACCUGAGGACACAGAAUAAAGAAGGACCAUGUGAAACUCAUGAAGAGGAUGGUCAGAGUCGUCCAUAGCUUUCUUGACUCUUAUGAAGAAUCCUUCUUUGCUUCAUCUCCAGAGGUU
Gambusia affinis (western mosquitofish) is the source of this 381-nucleotide long non-coding RNA. RefSeq lists it as uncharacterized. The record is from RefSeq and is a predicted model, not a curated record. Lineage: Eukaryota; Metazoa; Chordata; Actinopteri; Cyprinodontiformes; Poeciliidae. The transcript has 3 exons.